Regulatory RNA element from Strongyloides venezuelensis, 47 nucleotides. It matches the Rfam family "Histone 3' UTR stem-loop". From Rfam's summary of the family: The mRNAs of metazoan histone genes lack a poly-A tail. The record is from Rfam. NCBI's taxonomy places the organism in Eukaryota, Metazoa, Nematoda, Chromadorea, Rhabditida, Strongyloididae.
CCAACGGCCCUCUUUAGGGCCACCUAUUACUAUUAAUUAUUAUUUGU